UGCGUAGGCUGCACGGUAAGUCAGAUGUGAAAUCCCAGGGCUCAACUCUGGAAUUGCAUCCGAUACUGCCGUGCUUGAGGACUGGAGAGGAGACUGGAAUUUACGGUGUAGCGGUGAAAUGCGUUGAUAUCGGAAGGAACGCCGGUGGCGAAAGCGACGGACUGGAUCUCUUCUGACGCUGAGGCGCGAAAGCCAGGGGAGCAAACG
RNAcentral lists this ribosomal RNA (207 nucleotides) under uncultured bacterium. Its description in RNAcentral is "partial 16S ribosomal RNA". It matches the Rfam family "Bacterial small subunit ribosomal RNA", at positions 568 to 774 of the family's 1533-position model. The record is from RNAcentral.